AAGUCGUAACAAGGUUUCCGUAGGUGAACCUGCGGAAGGAUCAUUGUUGAAAUCCUCAAUGAGGACUGUGAAUGUGUCAAUGAGCAUUGCCUUGUCGAGCCUGCCUUACAAUGAUGCAGUCCUUGCCCUCCCGGUGAGGACGACAGACUAGAACCUCCGGCGUGAUGGGCGCCAAGGAGCAUGGAAGUAGCGGACGGCUAGAACUUUGUCUCAGCCGUGCUGUGGUUACUCAGAACCGAAUGACUCUCGGCAAUGGAUAUCUCGGCCCUUACAUCGAUGAAGAACGUAGCAAAAUGUGAUACAUGGUGUGAAUUGCAGAAUCCCGCGAACCAUUGAAUUUUUGAACGCAAGUUGCGCCCAAGGCCUUUUGGCCGAGGGCAUGCCUGCCUGGGCGUCGUGCGAUUGUCGCUCCGUGCGCCCCUAGCCCCACACACGGGUGGUGGAGCUGGAUGCGUACAUUGGACCCCCGUGCACAUGGGCAUGGUCGCCCGAAGAGUGUGCUUUUGCUGAUGGUCGGUCGGACACAACGGGUGGUGGUGCCAUGAGCAAUCUGAAUGUUGUGCCUCGGCCUAGGAGAUGUUCCUUGAUGUCCCCUAUCCCACCAUAAUUGCAGGUCUUGGAUUGUGAUCCCAGGUCAGGCAGGGCCACCUGCUGAGUUUAAGCAUAUCAAUAAGCGGAGG
This 680-nucleotide ribosomal RNA is filed under the name Sanblasia dressleri. Its description in RNAcentral is "eukaryotic LSU rRNA". The stretch from base 242 to 397 matches the Rfam family "5.8S ribosomal RNA". The record is from RNAcentral. Lineage: Eukaryota; Viridiplantae; Streptophyta; Magnoliopsida; Zingiberales; Marantaceae.